UGGCUCAGAUUGAACGCUGGCGGCAGGGCCUAACACAUGCAAGUCGAGCGGUAGCACAGAGAGCUUGCUCUCGGGUGACGAGCGGCGGACGGGUGAGUAAUGUCUGGGAAACUGCCUGAUGGAGGGGGAUAACUACUGGAAACGGUAGCUAAUACCGCAUAACGUCGCAAGACCAAAGUGGGGGACCUUCGGGCCUCAUGCCAUCAGAUGUGCCCAGAUGGGAUUAGCUAGUAGGUGGGGUAAYGGCUCACCUAGGCGACGAUCCCUAGCUGGUCUGAGAGGAUGACCAGCCACACUGGAACUGAGACACGGUCCAGACUCCUACGGGAGGCAGCAGUGGGGAAUAUUGCACAAUGGGCGCAAGCCUGAUGCAGCCAUGCCGCGUGUGUGAAGAAGGCCUUCGGGAAGUAAAGCACUUUCAGCGGGGAGGAAGGCG
Molecule: ribosomal RNA, 436 nt
Filed under: Klebsiella pneumoniae
Lineage: Bacteria; Pseudomonadati; Pseudomonadota; Gammaproteobacteria; Enterobacterales; Enterobacteriaceae
Description: bacterial SSU rRNA
Rfam family: Bacterial small subunit ribosomal RNA
Source: RNAcentral